Sebastes umbrosus (honeycomb rockfish) is the source of this 372-nucleotide long non-coding RNA. RefSeq lists it as uncharacterized. Lineage: Eukaryota; Metazoa; Chordata; Actinopteri; Perciformes; Sebastidae. The transcript has 4 exons. The record is from RefSeq and is a predicted model, not a curated record.
AAAAAAAGGCCAUGCUGCCUCACCACCAACUGGGCUCCUCCUCCAUCCCCUCUCUCCUCCUCCAUCCCCUCUCUCCUCCCUCCAAUGAAUCUACAAGUACGAGUACUUCCUGUUUGGCUGUUUGGACUCAUGACCAGCAGGGCACUUGAGUGUGCACCUUUCCUUGAUGCUAGAAGCAAAGAAAGUCCUUCCCCACACUCAAACGCUCUGUGAUCCUUUAUUCUGUCGCCUGGAGAGCCGCCUCGUUGCAUCAUCGUGAGCGCCCACAGCACAGUAGAAAAACACAUGACGCAGCAGGAUAAUAUCAUCACCUGGAUAAACAUCAGCAGCCUGUUGCACCAGCUAUACUCGCAGGCAUCCAUCAAAAAGUCG